GUAAUGUGAAUUGCAGAUUUUCAGUGAGUCANCGAAUCUUUGAACGCACCUUGCGCCCCUUGGUAUUCCGAGGGGCAUGCCUGUUUGAGUGUCAUU
RNAcentral lists this ribosomal RNA (96 nucleotides) under Leccinum arbuticola. RNAcentral's name for it is "partial 5.8S ribosomal RNA". It matches the Rfam family "5.8S ribosomal RNA", at positions 62 to 154 of the family's 154-position model. From Rfam's summary of the family: 5.8S ribosomal RNA (5.8S rRNA) is a component of the large subunit of the eukaryotic ribosome. It is transcribed by RNA polymerase I as part of the 45S precursor that also contains 18S and 28S rRNA. Lineage: Eukaryota; Fungi; Basidiomycota; Agaricomycetes; Boletales; Boletaceae. The record is from RNAcentral.